UACGUAGGGGGCUAGCGUUGUCCGGAAUCAUUGGGCGUAAAGAGCGUGUAGGCGGCCAAGCAGGUCCGUUGUGAAAACUGGAGGCUUAACCUCCAGACGUCGACGGAAACCGCGUGGCUAGAGUCCGGAAGAGGAGAGUGGAAUUCCUGGUGUAGCGGUGAAAUGCGCAGAUAUCAGGAAGAACACCAAUGGCGAAGGCAGCUCUCUGGGACGGUACUGACGCUGAGACGCGAAAGCGUGGGGAGCGAACAGG
This 253-nucleotide ribosomal RNA is filed under the name uncultured bacterium. Its description in RNAcentral is "partial 16S ribosomal RNA". It matches the Rfam family "Bacterial small subunit ribosomal RNA", at positions 524 to 776 of the family's 1533-position model. The record is from RNAcentral.